RNAcentral lists this ribosomal RNA (253 nucleotides) under uncultured bacterium. RNAcentral describes it as "partial 16S ribosomal RNA". It matches the Rfam family "Bacterial small subunit ribosomal RNA", at positions 524 to 776 of the family's 1533-position model. The record is from RNAcentral.
UACGUAGGGGGCGAGCGUUAUCCGGAAUUACUGGGUGUAAAGGGAGCGUAGACGGCGAGGUAAGCCUGAAGUGGAAGCCCGCGGCCCAACCGCGGAACUGCUUUGGGAACUGUUUUGCUGGAGUAUGGGAGGGGUAAGCGGAAUUCCUGGUGUAGCGGUGAAAUGCGUAGAUAUAUGGAAGAACACCAGUGGCGAAAGCGGCUCUCUGGUCUGUAACUGACGCUGAGGUUCGAAAGCGUGGGUAGCAAACAGG